CGCCUUGCCAGCCCGCUCAGAAACUCAAAGGAAUUGACGGGGGCCCGCACAAGCGGAGGAACAUGUGGUUUAAUUCGAUGAUACGCGAGGAACCUUACCUGGGCUAGAACGCAUUCGGAAUCAGGCCCGAAAGGCCUGCGCCAGCGAUGGCCGCUUGCGAGGUGCUGCAUGGUUGUCGUCAGCUCGUGCCGUGAGGUGUCGGGUUAAGUCCCAUAACGAGCGCAACCCCUACUGCUAGUUGCCAGCGGGUCAUGCCGGGGACUCUAGCGGAACUGCCAGCGUAAGCUGCGAGGAAGGUGGGGAUGACGUCAAAUCAGCACGGCCCUUACGUCCAGGGCUACACACGUGUUACAAUGGCCGGUACAGAGGGCAGCCACCCCGCGAGGGGGCGCGAAUCCCGAAAGCCGGUCCCAGUUCGGAUCGGAGUCUGCAACCCGACUCCGUGAAGCUGGAUUCGCUAGUAAUCGCGCAUCAGCCACGGCGCGGUGAAUACGUUCCCGGGCCUU
Molecule: ribosomal RNA, 506 nt
Filed under: uncultured Rikenellaceae bacterium
Lineage: Bacteria; Pseudomonadati; Bacteroidota; Bacteroidia; Bacteroidales; Rikenellaceae
Description: bacterial SSU rRNA
Rfam family: Bacterial small subunit ribosomal RNA
Source: RNAcentral